AAAGAACUUUGAAGAGAGAGUUCAAGAGUACGUGAAACCGCCCAGAGGUAAACGGGUGGAUCCGCAAAGUCGGUCCGCGGAAUUCAGCGCGGCGCGCGGCCCGGGGUUUUCUUUUGGGCCGUGGGUUGGAGGAUCCCUCGUGGACCGCCCACGGUAGCCUCGCCGGGCUCCGCCGCGUGCACUUUCCGCGGACAGAGAGCCACAACCGGUUCGGCGCGCACAACCAUGCGGCGACAGGCCGGGAGGGUUGUAGGUGGGGGCGCUCGCCGUCCCUACCAGCCUUCCCCGGUUAGCCGCCGCCGGACCGAGGAACCGCCACGCGCUUCGAGGCCACCUUCCCCUCCGGGCGAGUUCGACUGGGAGAGACUGGGCAACCGUGUCUCCCGACCGCUCGCCCGCGAUCGGCGCUGGGGCUGGCCGGGCGCGAAGAGAGUGAGGGUUUGUGGCAAGUCUGUCGGCAUUCCACCCGACCCGUCUUGAAACACGGACCAAGGAGUCUAACAUGCGCGCGAGUCAUUGGGCGGUACGAAACCCAAAGGCGCAGUGAAAGCGAGGGUCGUCUCCGAGCGGCCCAGGUGGGAUCCUCUCCUCCAGGAGCAAUCCGGCGAGGGGUGGC
Molecule: ribosomal RNA, 616 nt
Filed under: Krobylos maehungsonensis
Lineage: Eukaryota; Metazoa; Mollusca; Gastropoda; Stylommatophora; Pupillidae
Description: partial 28S ribosomal RNA
Rfam family: Eukaryotic large subunit ribosomal RNA
Source: RNAcentral